RNAcentral lists this transfer RNA (72 nucleotides) under Bos taurus (domestic cattle). It matches the Rfam family "tRNA". Rfam says of the family: Transfer RNA (tRNA) molecules are approximately 80 nucleotides in length. Lineage: Eukaryota; Metazoa; Chordata; Mammalia; Artiodactyla; Bovidae. The record is from Rfam by way of RNAcentral. RNAcentral also lists the same sequence under 2 other names.
UUAUUAGUAGCUGAGUUGGCAAAGAAUCUGCCUGCAAUGCAGGAGACCUAGGUUCAAUCCCUGGGUCAGAAA